RNAcentral lists this ribosomal RNA (227 nucleotides) under uncultured bacterium. RNAcentral describes it as "partial 16S ribosomal RNA". It matches the Rfam family "Bacterial small subunit ribosomal RNA", at positions 524 to 747 of the family's 1533-position model. The record is from RNAcentral.
UACGUAGGGUGCGAGCGUUGUCCGGAAGUUAUUGGGCGUAAAGGGCUCGUAGGCGGAUUCGUCGCGUCGGCUGUUGAAAUCCCGAGGCUCAACCUCGGUCUGCAGUCGAUACGGGCGGACUGGAGUUCGGACAUGGGAGAGCUGGAAGUUCCUGAUGUAGCGGUGAAUACGGCAGAUAUCAAGGAGGAACACCGGUGGCGAAGCGGUCUCUGGCGAUAACUGACGCU